Molecule: non-coding RNA, 27 nt
Filed under: Homo sapiens (human)
Lineage: Eukaryota; Metazoa; Chordata; Mammalia; Primates; Hominidae
Source: RNAcentral
ACGGCCACAGUUGCCUUCGUGCUGAUC